Molecule: non-coding RNA, 72 nt
Organism: Pangasius djambal
Lineage: Eukaryota; Metazoa; Chordata; Actinopteri; Siluriformes; Pangasiidae
Source: the annotation of a GenBank genome assembly
GGCUCGGUGGUUAGUGGUUAGCAUGGUUGCCUCACACCUCCGGGGUUGGGGGUUCGAACCCCGCCUCCGCCC